Molecule: long non-coding RNA, 445 nt
Organism: Mastomys coucha (southern multimammate mouse)
Lineage: Eukaryota; Metazoa; Chordata; Mammalia; Rodentia; Muridae
Exons: 3
Source: RefSeq, a predicted model, not a curated record
CUGCUUUUCAGAGUCAGAUUCAGUAUCCUUAUCCAGGUAUAUGCCCAGGAGUGGCCUAGCUGGAUCUUGAGGUAUACUGAGUCCCAUCAUCCUGAGGAACAACCACAAUGAUUCCCACAGUGGCUGUAUAAAGACUAAUGUGGAUAUAAAAUACAGAGUGAUGGAUUUGUUUUGGACUUUUCAAACCCUAUUCUCCAACAUUUAUGACAGUAUUGAGCACAUGGUACUGUGUUCAUAAAGGAACUGAGUGAGGUCUGGAGAAAUGACUUUUCUUUGCUCCUGAAGAGGACAUUACAUAGGACGUGGGAUGGCUAACAACAUCUGUAAUUCCAGCUUGGCCAGCUCCAUACCUCUCUCUUCAAUCUUUCCUGGACAUCUGCAGUAAUAUAGCUGACACAUUAGCAAAAAUAAAAAUAAACAACAAAUAAAAAGAAUAUUGAAUAAA